This 687-nucleotide ribosomal RNA is filed under the name uncultured bacterium. RNAcentral's name for it is "bacterial SSU rRNA". It matches the Rfam family "Bacterial small subunit ribosomal RNA", at positions 123 to 823 of the family's 1533-position model. The record is from RNAcentral.
AACCUGCCCUGCACUGGGGAAUAAUCAUUGGAAACGAUGACUAAUACCGCAUACGGUUCCCGGGAGGCAUCUUCCGGGAAAGAAAGGAUUUAUUCGGUGCAGGAUGGGCCCGCAUCUGAUUAGCUAGUUGGUGAGAUAACAGCUCACCAAGGCGACGAUCAGUAGCCGACCUGAGAGGGUGACCGGCCACAUUGGGACUGAGACACGGCCCAAACUCCUACGGGAGGCAGCAGUGGGGAAUAUUGCACAAUGGGCGAAAGCCUGAUGCAGCAACGCCGCGUGAAGGAAGAAGGGUUUCGGCUCGUAAACUUCUAUCAACAGGGACGAAAGAAAUGACGGUACCUGAAUAAGAAGCCUCGGCUAACUACGUGCCAGCAGCCGCGGUAAUACGUAGGGGGCAAGCGUUAUCCGGAAUUACUGGGUGUAAAGGGUGAGUAGGCGGCAUGGUAAGCCAGAUGUGAAAGCCUUGGGCUUAACCCAAGGAUUGCAUUUGGAACUAUCAAGCUAGAGUACAGGAGAGGAAAGCGGAAUUCCUAGUGUAGCGGUGAAAUGCGUAGAUAUUAGGAAGAACACCAGUGGCGAAGGCGGCUUUCUGGACUGAAACUGACGCUGAGGCACGAAAGCGUGGGGAGCGAACAGGAUUAGAUACCCUGGUAGUCCACGCCGUAAACGAUGAGUGCUAGGUGU